CACGUAGGCGGUUCGUUAUGUCAGAUGUGAAAGCCCCUGGCUCAACUGAGGAAGUGCAUCUGAAACUGGCGAGCUAGAGUAUGUAAGAGGGUCGCGGAAUUCCCGGUGUAGAGGUGAAAUUCGUAGAUAUCGGGAGGAACACCGGUGGCGAAGGCGGUUUCCUGGCCCAGUACUGACGCUGAGGCACGAAAGCGUGGGGAGCGAACG
This 207-nucleotide ribosomal RNA is filed under the name uncultured bacterium. RNAcentral's name for it is "partial 16S ribosomal RNA". It matches the Rfam family "Bacterial small subunit ribosomal RNA", at positions 568 to 774 of the family's 1533-position model. The record is from RNAcentral.